Long non-coding RNA from Drosophila mauritiana, 626 nucleotides. RefSeq lists it as uncharacterized. The transcript has 2 exons. Lineage: Eukaryota; Metazoa; Arthropoda; Insecta; Diptera; Drosophilidae. The record is from RefSeq and is a predicted model, not a curated record.
CCUUGCCCAUUUUCCCCAUGCGAAUUAGGAGAUGUUAUAAAAAUAAUUUUCGUCAUUGCAUGCGAGCGAGCGAUUUUUUUUUUGCAAAUGGUGCUCCAACGCUGCGUGUCUCUGGCCCUCUCGCUCUUUCCAAUGCGGAGAGUCGCUGAGCGGAGAGCGCGAGAGCAUGAUUCAUUUCGUGCCCUCUUGCUCGCACAGUAGCGGCGGCUUGCGUCGCCAUAUUGGAAUAUUGGUAAAUUCCAACAGCCAAGCGCCGCAUUGCCGCGCACAAGUGCGAGCGGGACAACGGGACGGGCAAGUGCGUGCGUGAAUGCGACAGCUAGAACAGCGCUUUGGUCUAAUGGGCUAAACCUGGGCAAAAAGAGAUAUUUCUUUUUGUAUUAUUGUACAAUUCGAUUGUGCAUUGUGCGUGUUUGUUGUUGUUGUUAUUGUGUCCACUGGGAACUGUGAGCACCCCCGCUCUGUGCACCCCCAUGUGUGUUUCGUCGUUGUUGCUGAGCGCGUCGCGCACGCAAACAAACAGACAAGCGAAAAGAGUGCAAGAGAGGGUGAACAGAUAACGAUUCAUUGAUUUGAGAGUAAGUGGGGUUAUGUUUGCGUCACCCAAAUAUUUGUCAGUGUUCCCA